CAGUCGCCGCGGUAAUACGAAGGGGGCUAGCGUUGUUCGGAUUUACUGGGCGUAAAGCGCACGUAGGCGGACUUUUAAGUCAGGGGUGAAAUCCCGGGGCUCAACCCCGGAACUGCCUUUGAUACUGGGAGUCUUGAGUUCGAGAGAGGUGAGUGGAAUUGCGAGUGUAGAGGUGAAAUUCGUAGAUAUUCGCAGGAACACCAGUGGCGAAGGCGGCUCACUGGCUCGAUACUGACGCUGAGGUGCAAAAGCGUGGGGAGCAAACAGGAUUAGAUACCCCUGUAGUCCCUGUCUCUUAUAC
Molecule: ribosomal RNA, 301 nt
Filed under: uncultured bacterium
Lineage: Bacteria
Description: partial 16S ribosomal RNA
Rfam family: Bacterial small subunit ribosomal RNA
Source: RNAcentral